CGGCGGGGAGCGGCUACGGGGGGCUGACGGAUGGCUGUGGCCGGGAGAGCUCCGGCAGCCCGUGUGUGCUCUCGCUCCGUGCGCCUUCCCUCCGUGCUUUCCUUUCUUCUUUUUUUUCUUCAAAAUCUCCCUGGGAAUUUUGUCUUUUACAGCGUUUUCUUUUUUUUUCUCUCAUUUUUUUUUUUUUUCCCCUUCCUCUCCUCUCGUUGCUGCCGAGGAUACGUUCUGCUUGCCAAGUUUGUAGUGCCACCUCUCAGAUUCCCCCACUCCCCGCGUUUUGGAUCUGUACAGUGCCCGUUUGUAUGUAGGCAUACCGCGGGGUUUUUUUGCCUCUUUUUCAAGAAAAUUGGAAUUCUUUGGGAAGCAAAUGGAUACAGAGGAGGACGAUGCUAAAAAUCUCCUUUUGAAUCUUUAAAAAGAGGUUUACGAAGAAAUUGCUUAAAUUCAGCCAUCAAUUUAGCUUCAUGUUAAGCACCUCGAAGUAUUUAUGAUUGCAGAGCAGGUGCAAGCGAGGAUUAGUAAUAAGGUGAAAAAUGUGCCCAAGACAGAAUGAUUCCAGUACACAGAAAUGUCACAGGAUGAGCUGCUGCUGUGUGCUGUCAUCCCUGCCAUGGACACUUAGAUAUAGAUCCUCAUUGGGACCUGGAGACGUAAAUAGCUGCCUGUGGUGGGAUUGGCCUUUGCUCUGCUGGGAUGCACUCGCAGGUGAGGGCUGUGACACCAAACCCCACAGUGGGAUCCCACUGGUCUGGGAGUGUGAGUGGGUGUGCUGUGCUGGGCCGAUGUCUCUGUUGUGAAACAAGGUGGCUGUCAACACAACAAAAUAGGGGGUUUAACACAGUGUGGAAGGGGAUUCCUUCCUAAAACAACGGGAGACGUUGAUGAGCUCUCUCCAAGAGGCUUAACUCGGGAUGUUUAUAAUCUUUUAGUGUGUGGCUGUGUCUGUUCUUAAACAUGAAAAGACCUUUCAGCAUUCAAAUGCCUAUUUUCCCUUUCCUUCUGAUCUGGCCUUCCUCUCUCCCACAUACCAACUUUCAUUCUCUGCUGUGCUCCUAGAAAACACGAAGGACUGGAGAAUGAUUAUUCUCAAUUAAAGAUAAAAAUUAAGCAAUGAGAACCACAUUUUGAAAAAGAAAAGAAACAGCAGAAAGAAAUCACAUCAGCAGCCCCAUAUUUUGUGUGCGCUGACGGUCUGAGUAAGUAAGAGAUGGUUGCUUACUCAGUGAUGCCCGUGUGAAACAUCAGAGCGUUGCACGCGGCUGUAGCUCGGUGUG
Molecule: long non-coding RNA, 1274 nt
Filed under: Gallus gallus (chicken)
Lineage: Eukaryota; Metazoa; Chordata; Aves; Galliformes; Phasianidae
Description: lncRNA (ENSGALG00010018798.1)
Source: RNAcentral